UGAAUUUGCUGAAUCAUCUGAUAGAGAAGUACAAUCUGCAGUUGGAUUAUCUGUUUCAUUCAUAGAGAGCUGCUGGCUAUGUCCUCUACCUCUAGAUGAUACUGCUCUUCGAGGCAUCUGAAAAAAUAAUUGUUCAUUAGUUUUAAUUAACAAUAAAGACAAACAAUAGAAAAAAUAAUAAUCAAAUAUUAAGUCUAUGAAUAUAUAUAUAUAUAAAUAUGAUAUACUUUACAAUGUAUCAUUCAGAAUCAUCUUCUAAGUUGACAUCAUCAUCACUAUCAAUACCAUCAACUUCUAAAUCGUCAUCUGACUCUUCAGUGUCUUCUUCCUCUUCUUCAUCCUCUCACUCCUCCUCUUCCUCUACAUCCUCAUCUUCAUCUUCCACCACUUCAAGUGGUUGUUGCACUUGUUGCAAUUCAUUAACAUCCACCUCAACCAUACUACUUGAAUCAAGUAACAUUGUGGGAUCAUCAAGUUCGGUUGUUGGUACAAUUUCUUGAGGUCUUGAGACAUCAUCCUCUUGAUAAGCAACAUCAUUGGAGUUUUGCUCAUUUGAAUUGUUGUUAACCAUGGAAGGUCCAAUAUUGUAAGUGCUCCUAGCUUUGGUUUUGAAAAUCGCACACCAGUCAACCCUGACUUUAUUGAUUUUAGGAUAUUUAAUAUAGCAAACUUGAUGAGCUUGUUGAGCUAAAAUAAAUGGAUCAGAUGAUGCUAGCCUUAAUUUGACAUUGAUUUCCACAAGACCAUGUUGAGGAUGGACCCUUACCCCUCUAUUAGUGUCAAACCAUUCACACUUGAAAAGGAUUAUCUUGUUUUUCUCUCCAAAGUACUCUAAUUCUAAUACCUCAUUCAGCAAGCCAUAGUAAUCACUUUCAUAUUCAUUAUAACAACUUCCUUUGACCCAUACACCACUAUUUAAUAUUUUUCGCUCUCUGCCAUAAUCAUGUCGAUGAAAUUUAAAUCCAUUCACAAAAUAUCCUUUAUAUUAUUGUAUUUUUCGGCUGGGCCCUUGAGCUAUUUGAUAAAUGCAGUUAUCAACUCCGUUCCUUCCCACCUAAUGUUGAAAUAUUAAGUACAACAUACAAUUGUUUACACAAACAUCGAUUUUUGUAUAACCAAGGCCUAGAGUGGACAUCAUCUUCUUCGUAUUAUAAAAAUUAUCUGGUAAGAGGUUUCCUUCUGGUAGCAUACUUUUUACCGUUCCCAUAAACUUAUUAAAACAACUAUGACUAAUGUGAAAUUCUGACAUUAAGUUCAGCAAUUGAGAUACAGCAAAUAACUUGGUAUGAUUAUUGCAGCCUUCCCAUAAUGGCACAUCCGCACCAUGUAAUAAUUCAUAGAAUUUUGAAACUUCUAAGUUCGGCUCCAUGGUUCGAUUGCCCAUUUCAGAACUACCAACUCCAACUGUACCAUAAUUUAUAUCCAUUGCUUCUAUGACCAUGCUUCUAUAAUCAUUGACAUUGUUGGUUGUAGCAAGAUAAUCAGUAGAUUGUUCCUCAAGUUGUUCAAAAUUUAUUUCAUGAGUGAUAGAUUCACCAUGCUCAAUCCACUUAGUAUAUCCUCCAACAAAUCCACUUUUGCAAAGGUGAUAAGUAACAUCUUGCCUAUUCUGAAAUUUUCUAUUCUGACACUUAGAACAUGGACAACGAAUUUUAUCUUGGCAUAUAAACUGUACUUGUGCAUAGGCAAAGUUUAGAAAUGUCUCCACCCCAAUCUCAAAUUCAGAAUUAAGAAAGCCAUUUUGAUCUAGUCGCUCAUACAUCCAUCUACGAUCUACCGACAUGAUAAAUAUAUUCUGAAAUAUAAACAAAUUCAACUCUAAUUAUAUACUAAUUUAACAAAUCAAACACACUAAUCAAUUUAACAAUACAUAUCAAAGAAAAGUUGAAUAAAGGCACAUAAAAUAAUCAAUUUAACAAUACAUAUAUAUAUUAAUAAAAUUAUAUAUUAUUAUUAUUAUUAUUUUGAAAUUUAUAAAAUGACUUAUUCUCUUAAAAUUAAAAAUAUAUAUAUAUUUUUUAAAAGGUCAUUUUUUCCUUUUAAUUAAAAAAAACUAUAUUAAUCAAUUUUAAACGUUAAAAAUAUUUCGUUGUUUAUCCAAUUUUUAAAUUAUUUGUUAUCACUACUUUUGAUUACUUCUAUAAGCAAUUCAUCUAAUUUGCUAGAAAAAAAUAAUUAAUAAUUAAAAUAUAAAUAUUGAAAGCCAAUUUACAAAAUGGAGACAAAAAAAAAAUUAAUAUAACUGGUCAACAAGGCAGGGAAGUAGCAGCAUGCAGCUGCUGCAGCAAGGCAGCAAGCUGCAGCACAGCAGCAGCUGCACAGCAGCAGCAAGCUGUUGUGCAGCAGCUUGCCUUGCUUGUGCAGCAGCAAGCUUGCUGCUGCACAAGCAAGGCAGCAGCAAGCUAGCUGCUGCACAGCAAGGCAGCAACAUGCUUGCUGCUGCACAAGCAAGGCAGCAGCAAGCUUGCUGCUGCACAAGCUAUAUUUCAUAAUUUCACAUUAUUUUUUUUUAUAACUAAUGAAUUUAAUUUCACAUUAUUUUUAACAUAUUACAAGAUAUAUUUCAUAAUUUAUAAAAAUUAGUAACAUAAUAAUCAUGUUCUCAAUAAUUGAUGUAAUCUCAAAACCCCAAAUAAAUAAAUAAAAAACAUAAAAACAAACAAUUAAGCAAUAAACCCAUCAAACUCAAUGGCUAAGUAAUAACCUAAUCUUUUUCAAAAUUAUUAAUUUAAUAAUUAAUAUAAAAUUAAAAAUUAGUAUAACAAGCAUACAUUAUGAUCAACCAAUCAUUCCAUCAAUAACUUACAUGGAGUGGCGACGAUUGGCAGCUGCAACGGCGGUGAGUGGCAACGGUGGUGGCGACAGCGGUGGCAGCUCCAGCAAUGGCGGCACAGCCGCGGCAACAGCAACAGCUACAGAGAGGCGCAGCAACGCGCGACAGCCCGGGAACG
RNAcentral lists this long non-coding RNA (2951 nucleotides) under Manihot esculenta (cassava). Its description in RNAcentral is "long non-coding RNA (MESC_LNC006830)". The record is from RNAcentral. Lineage: Eukaryota; Viridiplantae; Streptophyta; Magnoliopsida; Malpighiales; Euphorbiaceae.